UAGGACUCACGAAGAGGCAUUAAGCUGC
This 28-nucleotide non-coding RNA is filed under the name Mus musculus (house mouse). Lineage: Eukaryota; Metazoa; Chordata; Mammalia; Rodentia; Muridae. The record is from RNAcentral.